Molecule: long non-coding RNA, 851 nt
Filed under: Falco tinnunculus (common kestrel)
Lineage: Eukaryota; Metazoa; Chordata; Aves; Falconiformes; Falconidae
Description: lncRNA (ENSFTIG00000009480.1)
Source: RNAcentral
UAAAGCCUUAGCUUCUAGGGAAGGAGCUCUUGCUGAGGGCUUUUCUCAGGAGGGGAUUAGCGUGCUGUCCCUUUACAGCAUGGUGGUUGUGCUGCCGGCUGCUGCCCUGGCUGCCCUUGCUUGGCGCCUCUGAGGGCAGAGGGGCUUCUCCUGAGGGACAGAUGGCUGCUCCCUGUGGGGGACACCUCUUCCCUCAGUUACCACGCUGCACAAGACUGUUAGACUCUGGGCAGUACUCUGGCAUUGAAUUUAAUUUCAAGAGAAGCCCAAGGGAAAUCUGAGCUUUGAAGCAGAGAAGGAAAUACCGGGCAGGCCUGUUGCUGGAAACAGGUGAGCGGAUGAAAGGAAUGAAUGCCUCUGACCUGUGGAGUCUGGUAACCUCUUGCUGCGAUCUUGCUGCAGUGCUGGAUUUUUCUGAUCUUAAUGUGUUACUGUGUAUGGCUGGUUUGUUUUUCUGUUAAGGCUACAUUAUGAACUUCUCAGAGGAGGAGAAAAGGGGGGAGAGGGAAUGAAGGCAGUGAAAACGCAGCUGGCUUGAGUGAUAUUUGGCUUUUUUGAGCAGAUUAAUCACUUUGCUGAUUUACACAGUCCUUAUUCUGUAAUUUUAAACUCUUUCUUAAGGCAGCAUCUUAAUGAACUAAGUCAGUAAACACUCCAUUGAUGUAAACCUUGCUGUGAGGUAAAAAAAAUCUUUUUUUUUCUGUUUGGAAAAUUGAGCGAUGGCAGUUCUUCCAUUACUUUGAUGAAGCUGGUUAAACUCCUGCAACUGUUCCAAACUUUGAAACAAAGGUUCUUCUUAGAUUCAUUUGACUUAGGGAUUUACAAUAACAGAUUCUCAUAACACUUUUUUU